GGCAACGACCCGAAGGGCGAAGCGCGCAGCGCUGAGUAAUCCUUCCCCCAUCACCA
Molecule: small RNA, 56 nt
Filed under: Salmonella enterica
Lineage: Bacteria; Pseudomonadati; Pseudomonadota; Gammaproteobacteria; Enterobacterales; Enterobacteriaceae
Description: partial RtT sRNA
Rfam family: RtT RNA
About the family: This family represents a bacterial cis-regulatory element known as RtT RNA.
Source: RNAcentral